CACAUGCAAGUCGAGCGGGGAGAUGUAGCUUGCUACAUAUCCUAGCGGCGGACGGGUGAGUAAUGCUUAGGAAUCUGCCUAUUAGUGGGGGACAACAUUCCGAAAGGAAUGCUAAUACCGCAUACGCCCUACGGGGGAAAGCAGGGGAUCUUCGGACCUUGCGCUAAUAGAUGAGCCUAAGUCGGAUUAGCUAGUUGGUGGGGUAAAGGCCUACCAAGGCGACGAUCUGUAGCGGGUCUGAGAGGAUGAUCCGCCACACUGGGACUGAGACACGGCCCAGACUCCUACGGGAGGCAGCAGUGGGGAAUAUUGCACAAUGGGCGAAAGCCUGAUGCAGCGACGCCGCGUGAGGGAUGACGGCCUUCGGGUUGUAAACCUCUUUCAGCAGGGACGAAGCGCAAGUGACGGUACCUGCAGAAGAAGCACCGGCUAACUACGUGCCAGCAGCCGCGGUAAUACGUAGGGUGCAAGCGUUGUCCGGAAUUACUGGGCGUAAAGAGUUCGUAGGCGGUUUGUCGCGUCGUUUGUGAAAACCAGCAGCUCAACUGCUGGCUUGCAGGCGAUACGGGCAGACUUGAGUACUGCAGGGGAGACUGGAAUUCCUGGUGUAGCGGUGAAAUGCGCAGAUAUCAGGAGGAACACCGGUGGCGAAGGCGGGUCUCUGGGCAGUAACUGACGCUGAGGAACGAAAGCGUGGGUAGCGAACAGGAUUAGAUACCCUGGUAGUCCACGCCGUAAACGGUGGGCGCUAGGUGUGGGUUCCUUCCACGGAAUCCGUGCCGUAGCUAACGCAUUAAGCGCCCCGCCUGGGG
This 812-nucleotide ribosomal RNA is filed under the name Rhodococcus erythropolis. RNAcentral describes it as "bacterial SSU rRNA". It matches the Rfam family "Bacterial small subunit ribosomal RNA", at positions 52 to 878 of the family's 1533-position model. Lineage: Bacteria; Bacillati; Actinomycetota; Actinomycetes; Mycobacteriales; Nocardiaceae. The record is from RNAcentral.